Long non-coding RNA from Anneissia japonica, 785 nucleotides. RefSeq lists it as uncharacterized. NCBI's taxonomy places the organism in Eukaryota, Metazoa, Echinodermata, Crinoidea, Comatulida, Comatulidae. The transcript is spliced from 3 exons. The record is from RefSeq and is a predicted model, not a curated record.
GCCUGAAAAAGCAAAAUAAAAGAGAAGUUGCGAAGGACGAUUUGAUAGGAGGAUACGUUUUAAGUUUUGGCCAUAUUAGGUCAACAAAUAAAAACAAAAUGUGGUAUGAAAUUUUACCAGGAUUUUUUAUUAUAUGUGGUUGUGUAACUUCCAUAGGUUUGGGUAAUGUGCUUUGGCAGAGAGCCGCAAAUGGAGGCAAACUUCGAAGAGUUGUGAAUAGCAGAUUUGAGUAUGCACUACUUAGGAGAGACAUUAAGUUAGCUGGAAUGGAUUGGAAAACAAAGGGAUUGGAAGCCCUACCUAAAGUAAAAUAACUUUGUCACCAAGCAUGAAAAUAAAGUCACUACUAUCAUCGUGCAAAUAGACAUUUUUUAGUUCAAAGAGAGCAUGAAUGGCCUUCUAAUAAAGUGGUUUAUUUCUUCGCUGAUUUUGCUGGCUUAUAGAGGACAGCAGACAAGUUCACUUGCAAUGUUAAAGUUGAAGAGGAUAAUCCGAUCAAUGUUAGUAUACGUCAACAAAGAAUUUCGUUCGUGUUUGCUUGAGAAUACAAGAUGACACAUCUGACUAAGCAACGAUGUCAGCUAUUUUGUGUCCAACUUGGCGAUUUCUUAAAUCUAAAUCUUAAAUCGCCUAAAACUAAAUACAGUAUGUACAGUAUUCAUAUACUGUAACCAUCAGUACAAAUGUAACUGGAUAUUUCACUUGUCAUAUCCACAUUUUUCACAAAUUAAUUAACUCUUGAGUGAAUUGAAGAUUGUAAAUAAAAGAUUUAAUAGAAAGCCAAA